This 500-nucleotide ribosomal RNA is filed under the name uncultured bacterium. RNAcentral's name for it is "partial 16S ribosomal RNA". It matches the Rfam family "Bacterial small subunit ribosomal RNA", at positions 30 to 523 of the family's 1533-position model. The record is from RNAcentral.
AUUGAACGCUGGCGGCAGGCUUAACACAUGCAAGUCGAGCGGGGGAAGGUAGCUUGCUACUGGACCUAGCGGCGGACGGGUGAGUAAUGCUUAGGAAUCUGCCUAUUAGUGGGGGGCAACAUCUCGAAAGGGAUGCUAAUACCGCAUACGUCCUACGGGAGAAAGCAGGGGAUCUUCGGACCUUGCGCUAAUAGAUGAGCCUAAGUCGGAUUAGCUAGUUGGUGGGGUAAAGGCCUACCAAGGCGACGAUCUGUAGCGGGUCUGAGAGGAUGAUCCGCCACACUGGGACUGAGACACGGCCCAGACUCCUACGGGAGGCAGCAGUGGGGAGUAUUGGACAAUGGGGGAACCCUGAUCCAGCCAUGCCGCGUGUGUGAAGAAGGCCUUAUGGUUGUAGAGCACUUUAAGCGAGGAGGAGGCUACUCUAGUUAAUACCUAGGGAUAGUGGACGUUACUCGCAGAAUAAGCACCGGCUAACUCUGUGCCAGCCGCCGCUGUAA